This 566-nucleotide ribosomal RNA is filed under the name uncultured bacterium. RNAcentral describes it as "bacterial SSU rRNA". It matches the Rfam family "Bacterial small subunit ribosomal RNA", at positions 338 to 916 of the family's 1533-position model. The record is from RNAcentral.
CCUACGGGAGGCAGCAGUAGGGAAUUUUCCGCAAUGGGCGAAAGCCUGACGGAGCAAUACCGCGUGAGGGAUGACGGCCUGUGGGUUGUAAACCUCUUUUCUCAAGGAGGAAGUUUCUGACGGUACUUGAGGAAUAAGCAUCGGCUAACUCUGUGCCAGCAGCCGCGGUAAUACAGAGGAUGCAAGCGUUAUCCGGAAUCACUGGGCAUAAAGCGUCUGUAGGUUGUUUAGUAAGUCUGCUGUUAAAGACUGGGGCUUAACCCCAGAAAAGCAGUGGAAACUGCUAGACUCGAGUGUGGUAGAGGUAGAGGGAAUUCCUAGUGUAGCGGUGAAAUGCGUAGAUAUUAGGAAGAACACCAAUGGCGAAGGCACUCUACUGGGCCAUAACUGACACUGAGAGACGACAGCUAGGGGAGCAAACGGGAUUAGAUACCCCGGUAGUCCUAGCCGUAAACGAUGGAUACUAGAUGUUGCACGUAUUAACCCGUGCAGUAUCGUAGCUAAGGCGUUAAGUAUCCCGCCUGGGAAGUACGCUCGCAAGAGUGAAACUCAAAUGAAAUUGACGG